Meriones unguiculatus (Mongolian gerbil) is the source of this 936-nucleotide long non-coding RNA. RefSeq lists it as uncharacterized. The transcript has 2 exons. The record is from RefSeq and is a predicted model, not a curated record. Lineage: Eukaryota; Metazoa; Chordata; Mammalia; Rodentia; Muridae.
GGUGACAGUAUUCAGAGCCAGGCUCUCUCCGCAAUCCCCACCCUUUCUGGGGGGAAAGCCUACAAAGGAGAGCAAGGGGAAGCCCACUUAUUGGCCCAGGGAGAGGACAGGCACUGGGAACGGAGGUGGAGAGAGGGGGGAAGCCCACCGGAGGAGCAGUGUUCAGCCAGCCCUUCACACCAUCCUGCCUGGGGUCUCUCGUUACUCCAAUCCUGCACUAGAUGGCAUAACCACAUUGAGACGGGCUGAAAAUCAGGUACCUGGAGACGCCCCCACCGCAUCCAUACUACAUGUGGUCUCUGGGGCCGUAUCACAAGAGGCCACGGCUACCUCCACACCGUCAGGGGAAGUUCUGUGACUGGGGAAGUCAAAACGACGAGGCAGCACUCUCAACUGACUGUGGUUAAAAACAGCUCUCAUCUGCACGCUUUCCAUAGCGCCGUGCUCGAAUAACCCCUACCCUACCUUAUACGGCUUUGUCGACCUGUGUGCCCUCGACAGCCUGGGACUGUGAACCGUGGGGAAGACGUGACUCGUCUCUGCCCUGGCAUCCGACUCCGUGCCAGCCCCCAAAUAUGUGCUCAACCAGGGUGACUUCCGUGAGCAAACGAGCCGAGUUCGAAUCCAGCUCUGCCACGAAUGGGGCUCUGCAACCUGGACUAUUGCCGCUUUGUCUCUUUGAUCUUCAGUUUCUUUGUUGUUGUUAUUUAUUUAUCUGUUGGUUUUGGUUUUUUUCCGAGACAGCGUUUCUCUGUGUGUAGCCCUGGCUGUGCUGGAACUCACUCUGUAGACCAGGCUGGCCUUGGACUCACAGAGAUCCGCCUGCCUCUGCCUCCCGGAUUGAAGGUGUGCCCCAACACUGCCCAGCUUCUUCGUUGCUUUUUAAAAACCUCUUUCUAAAUCGUAACUGAUCACGAUUAAACUGGUAUUUUUAAA